AUUGAACGCUGGCGGCAUGCCUUGCACAUGCAAGUCGAACGGUAACAGGUUUUCGUAUGCUGACGAGUGGCGAACGGGUGAGUAAUACAUCGGAACGUGCCUAGUAGUGGGGGAUAACUACUCGAAAGAGUGGCUAAUACCGCAUGAGAUCUACGGAUGAAAGCAGGGGAUCGCAAGACCUUGUGCUACUAGAGCGGCCGAUGGCAGAUUAGGUGGUUGGUGGGAUAAAAGCUUACCAAGCCGACGAUCUGUAACUGGUCUGAGAGGACGAUCAGCCACACUGGAACUGACACACGCACCAGACUCCUACGGGAGGCAGCAGUGGGGAAUUUUGGACAAUGGGCGCAAGCCUGAUUCAGCAAUGCCGCGUGCAGGAUGAAGGCCUUCGGGUUGUAAACUGCUUUUGUACGGAACGAAAAGCCCCGGGUUAAUACCCUGGGGUCAUGACGGUACCGUAAGAAUAAGGACCGGCUAACUACGUGCCAGCAGCCGCAGUAA
Molecule: ribosomal RNA, 498 nt
Filed under: uncultured bacterium
Lineage: Bacteria
Description: partial 16S ribosomal RNA
Rfam family: Bacterial small subunit ribosomal RNA
Source: RNAcentral